AGAGUUUGAUCCUGGCUCAGAUUGAACGCUGGCGGCAUGCCUUACACAUGCAAGUCGAACGGUAGAGUAGCAAUACUUGAGAGUGGCGAACGGGUGAGUAAUAUAUCGGAACGUGCCCAGUCGUGGGGGAUAACGUAGAGAAAUUUACGCUAAUACCGCAUACGAUCUAAGGAUGAAAGCGGGGGAUCGCAAGACCUCGCGCGAUUGGAGUGGCUGAUAUCAGAUUAGGUUGUUGGUGAGGUAAAAGCUCACCAAGCCGUCGAUCUGUAGCUGGUUUGAGAGAACGACCAGCCACACUGGGACUGAGACACGGCCCAGACUCCUACGGGAGGCAGCAGUGGGGAAUUUUGGACAAUGGGCGAAAGCCUGAUCCAGCAAUGCCGCGUGUGGGAAGAAGGCCUUCGGGUUGUAAACCACUUUUGUACGGAACGAAACGGUUCGCUUUAAUACAGUGGGCUAAUGACGGUACCGUAAGAAUAAGCACCGGCUAACUACGUGCCAGCAGCCGCGGUAAUACGUAGGGUGCGAGCGUUAAUCGGAAUUACUGGGCGUAAAGCGUGCGCAGGCGGUUAUAUAAGACAGUUGUGAAAUCCCCGGGCUCAACCUGGGAAUUGCAUCUGUGACUGUAUAGCUAGAGUACGGUAGAGGGGGAGGAAUUCCGC
Molecule: ribosomal RNA, 662 nt
Filed under: uncultured Crater Lake bacterium CL0-119
Lineage: Bacteria
Description: bacterial SSU rRNA
Rfam family: Bacterial small subunit ribosomal RNA
Source: RNAcentral